AUUGAACGCUGGCGGCAGGCCUAAUACAUGCAAGUCGAGCGACCGGCGGACGGGUGAGUAAUGUAUGGGGUCUGCCCGAUAGAGGGGGAUAACUACUGGAAACGGCGGAUAAUACCGCAUACUAUCGGGUAAUCUAUAUGGUAUUAGCUAGUAGGGGGGGUAAAGGCUCACCUAGGCGACGAUCUCUAGCUGGUCUGAGAGGAGGAUCGGCCACGUGGUGACUGCGACACGGCCCAAACUCCUACGGAGGCAGCAGGGGGGAAUAUUGCACAAUGGGCGCAAGCCGGAUGCAGCCAUGCGGCGUGUAUGAAGAAGGGCUUAGGGUUGUAAAGUACUUUCAGCGGGGAAGCGUUACCCAAAGAAGAAGCACCGGCUAACUCCGUGCCAGCAGCCGCGGUAAUUC
RNAcentral lists this ribosomal RNA (403 nucleotides) under uncultured bacterium. RNAcentral's name for it is "partial 16S ribosomal RNA". It matches the Rfam family "Bacterial small subunit ribosomal RNA", at positions 30 to 526 of the family's 1533-position model. The record is from RNAcentral.